UACAGAGGGGGCAAGCGUUAUUCGGAAUUAUUGGGCGUAAAGCGCACGUAGGCGGAUUGCUAAGUCAGGGGUGAAAUCCUGGAGCUCAACUCCAGAACUGCCUUUGAUACUGGCGACCUUGAGUCCGGGAGAGGUGAGUGGAACUGCGAGUGUAGAGGUGAAAUUCGUAGAUAUUCGCAAGAACACCAGUGGCGAAGGCGGCUCACUGGCCCGGUACUGACGCUGAGGUGCGAAAGCGUGGGGAGCAAACAGG
Molecule: ribosomal RNA, 253 nt
Filed under: uncultured bacterium
Lineage: Bacteria
Description: partial 16S ribosomal RNA
Rfam family: Bacterial small subunit ribosomal RNA
Source: RNAcentral